GUCUCUGUGGCGCAAUCGGUAAGCGCAUUCGGCUGUUAACUGAAAGGUUGGUGAUCGUUAACUAAGUCUCUGGCACAAUAGGUUAGUGCCUUCAGCUGUUAACUGAAAGAUUGGUGGUUCAAGCUCACCCAGGGACA
This 137-nucleotide transfer RNA is filed under the name Danio rerio (zebrafish). It matches the Rfam family "tRNA". From Rfam's summary of the family: Transfer RNA (tRNA) molecules are approximately 80 nucleotides in length. The record is from Rfam by way of RNAcentral. Lineage: Eukaryota; Metazoa; Chordata; Actinopteri; Cypriniformes; Danionidae.